GCACAAGCGGUGGAGCAUGUGGUUUAAUUCGACGCAACGCGAAGAACCUUACCUGGGCUCGAAAUGUACAGGAAUCCGGUGGAAACAUCGGCGCCCAGCAAUGGGCCUGUAUAUAGGUGCUGCAUGGCUGUCGUCAGCUCGUGUCGUGGGAUGUUGGGUUAAGUCCCGCAACGAGCGCAACCCUUACCCCCAGUUGCCAUCAUUCAGUUGGGCACUCUGGUGGAACCGCCUCGGAUAACGGGGAGGAAGGUGGGGAUGACGUCAAGUCCUCAUGGCCUUUAUGUCCAGGGCUACACACGUGCUACAAUGGCCGGUACAAACCGUCGCAAACCCGUGAGGGGGAGCUAAUCGGAAAAAGCCGGCCUCAGUUCGGAUUGGAGUCUGCAACUCGACUCCAUGAAGCUGGAAUCGCUAGUAAUCGCAGAUCAGAACGCUGCGGUGAAUACGUUCCCGGGC
RNAcentral lists this ribosomal RNA (456 nucleotides) under uncultured bacterium. Its description in RNAcentral is "bacterial SSU rRNA". It matches the Rfam family "Bacterial small subunit ribosomal RNA", at positions 923 to 1379 of the family's 1533-position model. The record is from RNAcentral.